GGCUCCGGCUGCGGCUGAGGCCCGGACCAGCACGCGUGGAGCGGUGGCACUGCCAACCGCGCAGGAGCCUUGCGACAAGAUAGAGGGAGUCGUCAGAGAGGCCAGAGACUCCGGGGUGUCGCCCCUCUGUAGCCCCCUGUGGACACCCUAGGGAUAUCUCUUAGAAGGAUCCACGCCUGGUAACCUCAAAAUGAAUUUCUACCAGAUUAGGGUUUGCUGAAAUGGCAGAGAGGAAAGAGGCCUGAGGGUACAUCAGAGGUGAACUUCACUAACACACAACAAUCUCCAGAACUACAACAACAACAGCAGCACAGCUGAAGGCGUGCUUUCUACCAUAGACUUUUCUUCUUGUAGUCAGGAAAUACGGUGGAAGGGGAGACAAACCGAAUGUGAGCGCCAGAAAGAAGAGGAGGAAAGGAGGAGAGCUACCUCAGGCUGUCUCUAAGCGCCACAUCGCAUUCAAAGUCAUGACAGUGCCGCAGCCACGCCCACCACAUUGGGUUGUCAACA
Molecule: long non-coding RNA, 510 nt
Filed under: Rattus norvegicus (Norway rat)
Lineage: Eukaryota; Metazoa; Chordata; Mammalia; Rodentia; Muridae
Description: long non-coding RNA NONRATT020181
Source: RNAcentral